Molecule: transfer RNA, 71 nt
Organism: Microbotryum lychnidis-dioicae p1A1 Lamole
Lineage: Eukaryota; Fungi; Basidiomycota; Microbotryomycetes; Microbotryales; Microbotryaceae
Rfam family: tRNA
About the family: Transfer RNA (tRNA) molecules are approximately 80 nucleotides in length. Their secondary structure includes four short double-helical elements and three loops (D, anti-codon, and T loops).
Source: Rfam
GGACUGGUAAUUUAGUGGUAGAAUACUACAUUUUCAUUGUAGUCGCGUAAGUUCGAUUCUUAUCCAGUCUA